AGCUUUGCUUACCAGAUUCACUUUCCUAAUUUUGGAUUAAAAAAAAAUCUAUUUGUAAAUUAAAUAGCAUCUGCUGGAUGUCUGUCAUCAAAGGAUUGCUCCAGCUAAAGCGGUGGAUGCCAAAAUGAAUGUUUGUGUGUGCUCUGUGUUCAUUCAAUUCAAUUCAUUUUAUUUUGUACAGCCCAAAAUUGCAAUUUAUAAAUUUGCCUCAGCAGCAGAGUUGGGACAAAUGUAUCAAAAUGAAUUUUGAUACAAAAUAAUAUGUAUUUUAAUAAUACAAAUACGCUGUGCACAUACAAUGAACAGCGUAAGAGAUCUAAGCAAAAGUUCAAUUCCUACAAAAUGAUUGAAAUGAUGAGAGUAGCAAGCCAGGUGUACGACAGGACCACUGCAGGAACAACCGCCAUCCACAGAAACCUGUGGGGCGGGAAAGCCUUCGGGAAAGAGGAAAAGAUGUUGGUUCAUGAUCAGUAAUAGAAAUGUGAUUAAUAUUUAUAAUGAUAGCAGCAGCAGAUGUCAGCAGGGCCAUGACAGGAGGCAGGAACAGGGUCCAUGGAAAGCUGUGAGGCGAGAAAGCAGAAAAACUCCAGGAGAGAAGCUAAAUGUGCAUCAAUGAGAUUUGAAUUCUUAUAAAGGGAGAGAGAGAGCUAGGAGCUCGGUGUGCCCUAAGAAAAUUCCCCGGCAGUCCAGGCCUAUAGCAGCAUAACUAAGGGCUGGUCAAGACCUGAGCCAGCCAUAACUAUAGGCAUUAGACUUAAUCUUAAAUGAGCUGACUGUGUCGGCCGCCCGGACUGAAAGUGGAAUCAGGAAACAUCACACAACAUUUAUUGCCAUAAUAUGUCAAACAUAGAAGGAAUUUGACUUGGCAGUGGGUGCAUAAUAGCAGACAGUACGACAAUGGACGACGAGUCAGCAGUGCGAGCAGGGCAAAUAUAAUGCUAUGUGUUAGUAGUAUAAGGCCAUGGGUUAGUUUAAAAAUAAAUGAAUAAAAGCUCAAAGUUAAAAAGUUACAAAUAUUUAAAAAUGAAAAAUAAAGUGCACCAGCAAACAGAAAGUGACAAGUGAAAGUGACGUGUGCAAUAUGAAAGAAAGUGAGCGAAAGUGAGCGUCCUGAUAAUAAAGAAUUGCAGUAAUCUAGUUUAGAAGUAACAAUUUUGAACAAUUUUUUUAACUGCCGGGUGUUCUUUGAGCGUUGUCCGGAUUCCUUAAUGGCCGCAGAGACAAAAAACACAGAAUUUUUUUUUGGAGUAGGAUGUGGACGAGCCUCACUGCCCUCUCUCUCUUACUCACUCCCCUGGCUGAACAUGAAAGUGAAGAUCAUCUAAAGGGUGACUGUCAACAUAUAUCAGUGGUAUGUAGACGUUUCCUUAAGGGUCUACCUGCUGCAUGCAAACCAAGAAAGUCAUUCACCUCGGUAACCACUGUCCCCAAAGACGAACGUGCUCUUCACCGGCAGAAAAAGGCAGCAGGGGAGUCCAAAAAUAACAUGCAAUUGUCUUCAUUUCAAAUGAGCUUUCUUUUGCCAUCCUGGAUGGAAGAUUAGAUUUACUCUGUUUUUAUUACUUUUUUUAAUUGAACAUUAGUUGUAAAGGAAAUGUUAGAAAAUGCAUGGAUUUGUUCCGAAGCACACAGAUUGGACAAAUGCCAAAAUGUAUAGAUAGGUCAGACAUGUAAACUUAAAAAUCCUUUCGAUUAAUUUAAGUAUACCUCAAUCAAUGACUUGCUUUUGUAACGUUCACCAUUAGAUUACUGUGUCACAAACAGGAAUCCUGCUACAGUUCUGAAUGUUCCUGCUUGCAGGCGUUAACAAAAUCCAGUCAACUUUUUAUGUCUUGUUAGUUGGUUAGCUACUAGGUGCACUUUUGAUGAAAACAAUUGUUCAGGAGAGAAAGAAGCAAACUGUCUCUCCAGCCCUGUUAUCAUCUCUGAUCCAAAAAUGCAGAAUUUUGUAAAUAUAUAACGCAUGUUGCUAAAUAUCUCUGGAGCUGAAAGCCACUGUAAUAUCCUUUGUGUUACAAGUUAUGUAGAACAGAGAGACCCACGCUCAUUCCUAUAUGUUAUACACAUAAUAUGUAUGUGUAGAGAUGUGCUGCACAUGCACAAGAAAGAAAGACAAAAAGAGAGGGAGACAUGUACAAUGGACAAAUACAUAUAUUCAUUAUCAAAUGCCUCAUAUCUUGACAAGCUGUCAAAACCAAAAUGAAUUCAUCCCAGAAAAAUAAUUUCUGAGCUGAGGAAAAAGAAAUAUGAAAAAAAUGACUGCAUGGCCUUCCGUGCUCAUAAUCCCAAACAGCUCAACAAUACCCAACAUCCUGCCACUUUGGACUCAGCUUCCUGUUGAUGCAGUCAAGUCCUAAUGAGGGUCCUGCGGUCCACGCCUCUGUGUUGCCAAAGGUUUGAGCCACAAAUUAAGAAAUGACACAAAUUAAAUCUCCCAUCAACACUUCAACCAGACAAUUACAGUUUCCGGUUGAGAGUAGAAGGCGGAACAACAGGCAGAACCAAUCAGCUGUCUCGUAUGAUAUCUUUGCCUGACGCAGAUGCCAGACUCAUUUACUGUCACAAGCUCUCGGCAGCCAAAGAGGUGUUUGCUCGGUGGUUCAUUAAGAUCCCCUGCAGCUUUGUCAUCACGGCAGUUAUUCAUCCACACAGUUCGUUCGUACGGUGGCAAUCGGAUGGGAGCAGCACGCACAGUCGACGGAAUGGCUUUAAUCUUGUCAACUUGUCGAUUAUUAGACAUGCACGGUAAUGCUUUGAGUCAUGUCAUUUUAGCUUAAUAACACUCAAAACGCCAAACACCUUUUUCUCCUUGUGCUUUUUAGCUAAACUAAAAACUGAAUGUGACGUGCAAAUACCCAAGCUAUUAAGGUGCCGAACAAGAAGAGUGUGCACCUCUGAUCAAGCAAUGGAAGUUGUGAAAAAUAUCAACAUCUACUGACAUCCGAUGAUGCUGAAAAGAGUCACUCUUUUGUAAAAUGUCAUGUUGUCACAGACCAUACAAGAGUGUGCCGACAACAAGACGAGACGCCCAAGACGACAGGCGUGGUUUAGAAGAGACUGAUGACUGCGUCUCUCGCCCUGCUUCACCACGCUCCCCGUACGCUUUUUCUUCCUCGGCUCUGUCCAGGCGGGUUGCGAGCAGAACCCACUGCUGUAUUAUGUAACAUUCCAGGAAUAAAUGGCUCGAGACGGAGUGUGAAAACCUCAUCUCAGUUUGCAGGUGGUUUGUUAAAGUAGACAUUUUCAUCAGGAAAUCCAGCCAGGAACCCAUGUGAUUACAACAUCUUUGCUCUUGCUGUUGUUGUGUGUGUGUGUGGGAGAUGUGUGUACAUUGAAGUGCGAGGGGAGUCUCUUUGCAUGUGUGUGUGUGUGCGCGAGAGAGUGUUUGUCACAUCAACACUGAGAUUCACAAGUUUUUCUUUCGGAGAUUUCACAUUUUUACACAUUUCCCACUUUCUUCGAGUGCUGUUGUUGAUGGCUCGGCAGGUCUGGAUAAAUACAAGAAUUCUGACCUUCACUGUGUCCCAAACAAACAAGAUUUCCCUCAGAUGUUUCCACAGCUUUGGACGUGGCUCCACUGGCAUUCAAAACCAGGACCGGUUUAACAAAGCUAUGAAGGCCACGCAUGUCAACACAUUCCUUACCAGAAGCUUCAGUUUUAAUUUCAGAUGAAGUUUGGGGUGGUUUGCUACCAGGGAAGACUCAAAGGGCAAUAAACAUAUCUGCAAUUUUUUGUAAAGAUUGGCUCUUUUUAAUAAUCUCAGAAUGCCUUGCUGCCAUCUCUGUAUAUCACGGCCCUGAAUAUGCUUAAACUGGAACUGGUUUCAUCAGCUGCUUUCUGAAUUUGAAUAAUGUAUAAAGGGCUUCAUCUUGGAUGAAGAGCUGUAAUGGUUGUGAACACAUACAGCAGAGGAAGGAGCUUUUAAACCUCACUCGCUAAGAGCCCGAGAAGAGGCUUCCUGGAAAAACACUCCAGUGAAUGAAACCCUCUUUUUAAUUUUAAGGGAAAGAACACAUCUGUAGCUUGGUAAAUGUGCCCUGCUGGAGGGGUUUUGUUAAACUCGUUUUUAACUGGUGCACAAUUAAGAACAAUGAAUGAGGAAUGAGGGCUAAUCAAACCUUUAGUUGGCAGGAUCCCAGUCUUGUGUGUAAACCUCUGCUCACCUCAAUCUCCUCUCCUCAUGGGUCGCCUUGCCCUGUUUGUUUUGUUAUGCCAUGUGCUCGUUGUUUGGAUUGGCGGUCCUGCCUCCAGACUCCUCCCACGGCCACACCCCUGAUUGGGGCACAGCUGUUACCGCCAGCAGUAUAUCAACCCCUGGUCCUGCAGACCUGGGUUCGUCAGUCUGUGUCAUCUUCGGCUCUGGUGGGCUUCGCCACCAUGCAGCAGGUCGCUUGUUGCCUGCUCGUGGACUAUUUCGCUCUUCUCUCUCGGCGUCCAGCACCUGACCGAUUGACCGGCCCUCAUGUGUCCGACCUCAGGCUCCACAUUCCCGCCCUCUCAGGGGUUGAAAUAAAAGCUGUAUACCUGAUUCUGUCUCCCGUGGUCAAGCUUGUGGGUCCUAACUUUGAACUCCCGUGAGAUUAGUAGAAUGAUCAAUUCUGUAAGGUAUGAAAAAGCUCCUCCAUCUAUCCAUCUUUUUUAUUCAGGUGAAUCAAUGACUCUCAAAACAUUGGGAUUUGGUAAUUGGGCCACACUACUAAACACGAGAUAUCAGAUGACUCAGAGGGAACAUGACUCAUGAAUGCUUUUCUAAAGUGAUUUAAUUCAUUUGAUAUUUUAGAGUUUAUUCUGUGAAUGAGGGCUGAAGGAAGUGUAUAUAUGGAAAAGUAAAAUGUAUGAACUAAUAAAUACAAAUUGGUUAGGCCUGAUAAUAUUGCACAGCUAUGGCCAUCGUGUUGCCAAAAUCAUACCUGUACUUUACUUUACCAAGAAUUUGCUCACUAAUUAAGUUUUGUUAUUAGCAUACAAAUUUGGGGAUCACUAAAUUGUAUGUAUCACUGAUAGCGAAAGAACCACAACUACAAAAAUACUUCAAAUGUAAUUCCAUUUACAAGUCAAAAUUGCUUCCAAAACACUCAAUACUGGCUUGGCGACUACAUUUCAUAAAAAACAUUACAGAACAAAGGAACCACAAAAAGAUGUGUUAUUGGCCAAGUUAGCAACAUUUUAUGCGAAAUGGGGACGGUGGUGAAUAUUGUAUUGCACUCUUUACAUCAGCAUGUCAGUGUUGUCAAUAUGAACAUGUUAGCAUGUUGAUGUUGGCAUGUAGACUGUAAGCUCAUUCUAGUUACAAAAUGCUGACGUUUUUACAAUUGUCACUGUGUGUGACGCAAAGACAUUUUGGCAAUUGUUGUUUGGCA
Molecule: long non-coding RNA, 5361 nt
Organism: Gasterosteus aculeatus aculeatus (three-spined stickleback)
Lineage: Eukaryota; Metazoa; Chordata; Actinopteri; Perciformes; Gasterosteidae
Source: Ensembl